CCGAUUCAGUUAUAUCGCUCCAUGAACUUCUCAAUCGCCACAGAGAAGGCACCAAAACCCACGCACCCGAUACAUGUAGCUUGAGGGCCACCUGCAACAGCUAAAGCUCCUCCUGUGACACAGCCAGCUACUGCUGAAUUGGUGAUGUCAUGCUUUGCCCGAGCCUGCCAGGACACGCAUUCAGCUGCAGAGAAAAUCAAGCCCAUUACUGCAAAGGUCUUAGCAUGGCUCAUACUUUUCCUACCCAUCUGUUUUGCCUGGUAGACUAUUUGUUGCCUUGCUGUCAUCUCCUCUGCCAUUAUUGGAUUUUCCAAAGCUCCAAAAAAUAGUCCCAUAAGUACACCAAGACCACCCCCUAUGACACCGCUGAGGACGCUCCGGACGGCGCAGUUGUUCAUCAUCUCCUGCCCCUUGAUCUCCUCCGGCGUUGGCAGCCGGAGCGGCUCCACUGGAGCCCUCUGGCCGGCCGCAUCGCCGCCCGCCCCGGCCGCCGCCGCCGAUGGCUCCGGCGAAGACAUCUCACAGUCUGAUCUCCCUCCCCCUCCCGAUAGCGCGACGGCGGAGCUAGCUGCGGGCCUUGGAAACCACUGGAAAGGCAAUGAAGGGGAUUGGAGAAGAAGCCGAGCCGAGAAGUUCCUCAGGGCUCGCUACUUGUCCUCCUUCCCUUGGCUUUCUUUUCCUCCCCUCCAAGAAAAGGGGCGGCGGUAA
This 708-nucleotide ribosomal RNA is filed under the name Triticum aestivum (bread wheat). RNAcentral describes it as "partial small subunit ribosomal RNA". Lineage: Eukaryota; Viridiplantae; Streptophyta; Magnoliopsida; Poales; Poaceae. The record is from RNAcentral.